GGGUCAUAGCUCAGUGGUAGAGAGCAUUUGACUGCAAAUCAAGAGGUCACCGGUUUGAACCCGGUUAGGCCCU
Molecule: non-coding RNA, 73 nt
Organism: Rosa chinensis
Lineage: Eukaryota; Viridiplantae; Streptophyta; Magnoliopsida; Rosales; Rosaceae
Source: the annotation of a RefSeq genome assembly